Molecule: ribosomal RNA, 542 nt
Filed under: uncultured bacterium
Lineage: Bacteria
Description: bacterial SSU rRNA
Rfam family: Bacterial small subunit ribosomal RNA
Source: RNAcentral
UGGGGAAUAUUGCACAAUGGGCGAAAGCCUGAUGCAGCGACGCCGCGUGAGGGAUGGAGGCCUUCGGGUUGUAAACCUCUUUCGCUCAUGGUCAAGCCGCGACUUUGGUUGUGGUGAGGGUAGUGGGUAAAGAAGCGCCGGCUAACUACGUGCCAGCAGCCGCGGUAAUACGUAGGGCGCGAGCGUUGUCCGGAAUUAUUGGGCGUAAAGGGCUUGUAGGCGGUUGGUCGCGUCUGCCGUGAAAUUCUCUGGCUUAACUGGGGGCGUGCGGUGGGUACGGGCUGACUUGAGUGCGGUAGGGGAGACUGGAACUCCUGGUGUAGCGGUGGAAUGCGCAGAUAUCAGGAAGAACACCGGUGGCGAAGGCGGGUCUCUGGGCCGUUACUGACGCUGAGGAGCGAAAGCGUGGGGAGCGAACAGGAUUAGAUACCCUGGUAGUCCACGCUGUAAACGUUGGGCACUAGGUGUGGGGGCCACCCGUGGUUUCUGCGCCGUAGCUAACGCUUUAAGUGCCCCGCCUGGGGAGUACGGCCGCNAGGCUA